UGGGAGUUGAAAUUCGACCAGCCACCAUUAAUGGUGAAAAUCAAAGUGAAAGUGUAAAUAUAGGUGCACCAGUUGUACUUGGACUACAACCAUUUGCCCUAGUAGAUCAUAUAGCUAAGGUGGAUUGGUCUCUUCUCUCCCAAAUUCCCGGUGAACGUGGUGGCUCUUUCCCAGUUGCAGUUGAAGAGUUGAAGUAUAUACUCAACGAGCUUAACGCCCAUAUCCUUCCUUCUACUGACAAUGAAUCCAUAUUGAAGACUAUAGCUGGAGGUAGCGUUGCAAAUACAAUUAGAGGGUUGGCUGCUGGUUUUGGGAUUAGUAGUGGGAUCAUUGGGGCUUGUGGCGAAGAUGAAGAAGGUAAAUUAUUUAUGAGCAACAUGGGCUUUUACAAAGUGGAUCUCUCAAGAUUGAGAUUGAAGAAUGGAACUACAGCUCAGUGUGUUUGUCUGGUUGACGAAGUUGGCAAUCGUACCAUGCGUCCAUGUUUGUCUGGCUCUGUGAAAGUUCAGGCAGAUGAACUGAAAAGAGAGGACUUCAAAGGUUCUAAGUGGCUGGUACUGAGAUAUGCCAUACUGAAUGUAGAAGUUAUUAAGGUGGCCAUCAAAAUAGCAAAGGAAGAAGGUCUUUUUGUUUCUCUAGAUCUUGCCAGCUUUGAGAUGGUGAGGAAGUUUAAAUCACCUCUAAUUGAAUUAUUGGAGUCGGGAAACAUAGACCUUUGCUUCGCAAACGAGGAUGAAGCAACUGAGCUGCUAAGGGGUGAAGAGAAAGCAGAUCCUGAUGCAGCACUUGAAUAUUUGGCUAAAUAUUGCAAGUGGGCUGUUGUCACCUUAGCUCAAAACGGAUGCAUUGCGAAACAUGAGAAAGAGUUUGUGCGUGUUCCAGCAAUUGGCGAAGCGAAAGUUACUGAUGCUACAGGUGCAGGAGAUCUGUUUGCAAGUGGAUUUUUGUAUGGAUUGGUAAGAGGACUGUCACUGGAGGAAUGUUGUCGGGUGGGUUCUUGCAGCGGUGGUUCUGUGAUUCGAUCUCUUGGGGGUGAGGUAACACCUGAAAACUGGCAAUGGAUGUACAAACAAAUGCAGACCAAUGGACUCCAACUUCCAGAACCAAGCAAAUCCUCUGUUGUGACAUAGAAGAGUGGCCUCCCUAACUCAAUAGAAAGAGCAGCGCUGUGUUUUUUAAGUGCGUACUCCUCUUGUUAUUUGACUUGUCGCGAAGAUAUGUUGAACGUAGAAGUUCAUAUUGUUUAAUCUAGAUGUCCAUCUCAAUUCAGGUGUCAAAAGAUUCAGUUUUUAUUAUAUGCAAUGUGUUGGAAGUUGCCAUUGAACAGAGA
Molecule: unclassified non-coding RNA, 1330 nt
Filed under: Hevea brasiliensis (rubber tree)
Lineage: Eukaryota; Viridiplantae; Streptophyta; Magnoliopsida; Malpighiales; Euphorbiaceae
Source: RNAcentral